UUAGAGUUUGAUCCUGGCUCAGGAUGAACGCUAGCGGCAGGCUUAACACAUGCAAGUCGAGGGGCAGCAGGGCGUAGCAAUACGCUGCUGGCGACCGGCGCACGGGUGCGUAACGCGUAUGCAACCUACCUUUAACAGGGGGAUAACCCGGGGAAACUCGGACUAAUAUCCCGUAUAGUCGAUGUACCGCAUGAUAUGUCGACGAAAGAUUUAUCGGUUUUAGAUGGGCAUGCGUAGCAUUAGGUAGUUGGCGGGCAACGGCCCACCAAGCCCACGAUGCUUAGGGGAGCUGAGAGGCUUAUCCCCCACACUGGUACUGAGACACGGACCAGACUCCUACGGGAGGCAGCAGUGAGGAAUAUUGGUCAAUGGACGCAAGUCUGAACCAGCCAUGCCGCGUGAAGGAAGAAUGCCCUAUGGGUUGUAAACUUCUUUUGCCUUGGAGCAAUAAGGCCCACGCGUGGGUCGAUGAGAGUACAGGGCGAAUAAGCAUCGGCUAACUCCGUGCCAGCAGCCGCGGUAAUACGGAGGAUGCAAGCGUUAUCCGGAUUUAUUGGGUUUAAAGGGUGCGUAGGCGGACCUUUAAGUCAGCGGUGAAAUAUGCCGGCUUAACCGGCAGGCUGCCGUUGAUACUGGGGGUCUGGAGUCCAAACGGCGCUGGCGGAAUAUGUCAUGUAGCGGUGAAAUGCAUAGAUAUGACAUAGAACACCGAUCGCGAAGGCAGCUGGCGAGGAUGUGACUGACGCUGAGGCACGAAAGCGUGGGGAUCAAACAGGAUUAGAUACCCUGGUAGUCCACGCAGUAAACGAUGAUAACUUGUUGUCGGCGAUACACAGUCGGCGACAAAGCGAAAGCGAUAAGUUAUCCACCUGGGGAGUACGAUCGCAAGGUUGAAACUCAAAGGAAUUGACGGGGGCCCGCACAAGCGGAGGAGCAUGUGGUUUAAUUCGAUGAUACGCGAGGAACCUUACCCAGACUCACAUGGGAGACGACCGAUUUAGAAAUAGAUCUUUCGCAAGACGUCUUUCAAGGUGCUGCAUGGUUGUCGUCAGCUCGUGCCGUGAGGUGUCAGGUUAAGUCCUAUAACGAGCGCAACCCCUACGUCCAGUUGCCAGCGGGUCAAGCCGGGGACUCUGGACGGACUGCCGGCGCAAGCCGCGAGGAAGGUGGGGAUGACGUCAAAUCAGCACGGCCCUUACGUCUGGGGCGACACACGUGCUACAAUGGCCGGUACAGAGGGCAGCUACUCCGCGAGGAGAUGCGAAUCUCGAAAGCCGGUCUCAGUUCGGAUCGGAGUCUGCAACUCGACUCCGUGAAGUUGGAUUCGCUAGUAAUCGCGCAUCAGCCAUGGCGCGGUGAAUACGUUCCCGGGCCUUGCACACACCGCCCGUCA
RNAcentral lists this ribosomal RNA (1393 nucleotides) under uncultured bacterium. RNAcentral's name for it is "16S ribosomal RNA". It matches the Rfam family "Bacterial small subunit ribosomal RNA". The record is from RNAcentral.